This 2255-nucleotide long non-coding RNA is filed under the name Homo sapiens (human). RNAcentral's name for it is "long non-coding RNA NONHSAT171121.1". Lineage: Eukaryota; Metazoa; Chordata; Mammalia; Primates; Hominidae. The record is from RNAcentral.
AGAGGGAACGCAUAGGGAUUACCUAUAAAAUCAGAACAGUAACCUCAAGAAGGAAAUCUUUAGUAAAUCAAAAUUGCCAAAAUACAAAAGUUUUUUUUUUUAAUUUUUAUUUAUUUAUUUUUUUUUGAGACAAGGUCUUGCUCUGUUGCCCAGGCUGGAGUGCAAUGGCAUGAUUUCAGCUCACUGCAACCUCUACCUCUCAGGCUCAAGCAAUUCUCCUGUCUCAGCUUCCACUGCGCCCGGCUAACAAAAUGUUUUCUUAAAGGCAAUAUUUGAAAAAAAGAAAAUACCUACACCUAAUGAGAACGUGAUCAUGACUCCAAUGGUGGCUAAAAAACAAAGGCUGCUGAUCAGCUAACUGAUGCAGUACUCAGGAAAGCUAUGAAAACCUAAGGAAGUGAGAAGCCCCAGGCCCAGCAUUCUUAAUUAUUUGGGAGUAAUAUUCACAUAUGUUAGGGGACAUUUCUGUAACUGGAAUGAAUACUCUUUAAUCUCCAAAGAGGUUUAAAUGCUUGGAAAUCUGCCACAGAAUCUCACUAUUUCUAAGAGACUAAUAAUCUGAGCAAUUCUGCACAAGAAAAACCUAGAGCCUCUAAAGAAGAAUUCCCAAGGGCUUUGCAAUUGUGGAAUUUAUUGCAAAUAAAAUAAUUUCAAUAGACUUUACAAAGGUAAAAGGACUGGGUUAUGACAUCCAGCAUUGUGACAUGGUAAAAGCAACAGACUUGAAAUCUGGCUCUGCCAUGCAUGGACCAGAAAACUCUGGACAAAUCCCUGAACUUCUCCUGGUUUCUCUCUUUUAUAAAAUGAAGGUCAUUUAGAAGGUUCAUUAAAUAGAGAAGGUAAAAGUUUGUUAUAAACUAUAAAGCACUUAGAAGAGCCCCUGGCAUAUUCUAAAUACUCACUAUUAUUAGCUCGACCUGGGAAAAGCAAAGCCUGCUUUAAAUAUGAAGCCCAUCUCAGAGGGGGAAAAAGUUCCCUGGAUAACAGCCAUGGUGUUGACACAACAGUGCCUGGCUCUGGCAAAAAUGCCUAUUACAUCAAAAAUUGAUAAACUAAAAUGUCAGCCCAUCUACCUCAACUCUUGACCAAUUCCAAGAAAAAGGAUUCUACACAGCAUUCUAUUUUGGCUUAAAUAAGUUGUCAGGCUGAGAGCUUUGAUCAAAGCUUGAUGCUAGCCAAUUUACUUACUUGCCUGACAUUAAGUCUAGUAUAAAUUCUUCUAACUAGACUCCUUGAAUUAAAUCUGGAAUACAGCUUACCAAUCUAAGUAGACAGGCCAAUUAAAGUAACAGUUUUAGAGAAAUGAUUCUUAAUAAGAGUAGGUUGGGGCCGGGCACAGUGGCUCACGCCUGUAAUCCCAGCACUUUGGGAGGCCGAGGUGGGCGGAUCACCUGAGGUCAGGAGUUCAAGACCACCCUGGCCAACAUGGUGAAACCCCGUCUCUAGUAAAAAUAACAAAAAUUAGCUGGGCAUGGUGGUGAGCAUCUGAAUCCCAGCUACUUGGGAGGCUGAGACAGGAGAACUGCUUUAACCCAGGAAGCGGAGGUUGCAGUGAGUGGAGAUUGCUCCAUGGCACUCCAGCCUAGGCAAAGUGCGGAGUCUCACAAACAAACAAAAAAAAAAAAAAAAAAAAGAGUAGGUGGAAUUUGGGCACAGUGGCCCAUACCUGUAAUCCUCACACUUUGGGAGGCCUAGGCGGGUGGAUCACCUGAGCUCAGGAGUUUGAGACCAGCGUGGCCAACAUGGUGAAACCCUGUCUCUACUAAAAAUACCAAAAACCUAGCUGGGUGUGGUGGCAGAUGCCUGUAUUCCCAGCUACUUGGGAGGCUGAGGCAGGAGAAUCACUCGAACCCAGGAGACAGAGGUUACAGUAAGCCAAGAUUGCUCCAUUGCACUCCAGCCUGGGCGACAAGAGUGAAACUCCGUGUCAAAAAAAAAAAAAAAGAGUAGGUGGAAUUUCAGAAAUGCCUAAGAUUGGUAGAACAAGGAUAGAAUAUACAGUUUGAAAGUCAUAUUCAAUAUAAUAAUAACUGUAUAUGGGAAAGAAGUUAUUAUCGUUUCUAUAAUACAAACUUAAGAGAACGCAAGAUCAAAUACUCUUGGCUGAUGAGGAUAAGAGGUUGGAUAUUAUAGACUGGCGCGGUGGAAGGGUGUUUCUCAGAAUGAAGAGGAGGUAUGAGAUUUUUGUUUCCCAAAAGAGGCCAUGAGUUUUAAGAUUAAGGAACGCUGUUCUACAGGAAAGUUGAAGAUUCCUG